This 468-nucleotide ribosomal RNA is filed under the name uncultured bacterium. Its description in RNAcentral is "partial 16S ribosomal RNA". It matches the Rfam family "Bacterial small subunit ribosomal RNA", at positions 28 to 507 of the family's 1533-position model. The record is from RNAcentral.
GACGAACGCUGGCGGCGUGCUUAACACAUGCAAGUCGAACGGAAAGGCCCUGCUUUUGUGGGGUGCUCGAGUGGCGAACGGGUGAGUAACACGUGAGUAACCUGCCCUUGACUUUGGGAUAACUUCAGGAAACUGGGGCUAAUACCGGAUAGGAGCUCCUGCUGCAUGGUGGGGGUUGGAAAGUUUCGGCGGUUGGGGAUGGACUCGCGGCUUAUCAGCUUGUUGGUGGGGUAGUGGCUUACCAAGGCUUUGACGGGUAGCCGGCCUGGGAGGGUGACCGGCCACAUUGGGACUGAGAUACGGCCCAGACUCCUACGGGAGGCAGCAGUGGGGAAUAUUGCACAAUGGGCGGAAGCCUGAUGCAGCAACGCCGCGUGCGGGAUGAAGGCCUUCGGGUUGUAAACCGCUUUCGCCUGUGACGAAGCGUGAGUGACGGUAAUGGGUAAAGAAGCACCGGCUAACUACGUG